This 807-nucleotide ribosomal RNA is filed under the name uncultured Pelagibacteraceae bacterium. RNAcentral's name for it is "bacterial SSU rRNA". It matches the Rfam family "Bacterial small subunit ribosomal RNA", at positions 35 to 890 of the family's 1533-position model. The record is from RNAcentral. Lineage: Bacteria; Pseudomonadati; Pseudomonadota; Alphaproteobacteria; Candidatus Pelagibacterales; Candidatus Pelagibacteraceae.
GCUGGCGGCACGCCUAACACAUGCAAGUCGAACGAAGUAGCAAUACUUAGUGGCAGACGGGUGAGUAACAUGUAGGUAUCUUCCCUUUGGCCUGGAAUAACACGAGGAAACUUGUGCUAAUACUGGAUAAGUCUUUACGGAGAAAGCUUUAUGCACCAUUGGAUGAGCCUGCACUUGAUUAGUUUGUUGGUGGGGUAAUGGCCUACCAAGACUUUGAUCAAUAGCUGAUUUGAGAGGAUGAUCAGCCACAUUGGGACUGAGACACGGCCCAAACUCCUACGGGAGGCAGCAGUGGGGAAUCUUGCACAAUGGAGGAAACUCUGAUGCAGCGAUGCCGCGUGAGUGAAGAAGGCCCUUGGGUUGUAAAGCUCUUUCGUCGGGGAAGAAAAUGACUGUACCCGAAUAAGAAGGUCCGGCUAACUUCGUGCCAGCAGCCGCGGUAAUACGAAGGGACCUAGCGUAGUUCGGAAUUACUGGGCUUAAAGAGUUCGUAGGUGGUUGAAAAAGUUGGUGGUGAAAUCCCAGAGCUUAACUCUGGAACUGCCAUCAAAACUUUUCAGCUAGAGUUUGAUAGAGGAAAGCAGAAUUUCUAGUGUAGAGGUGAAAUUCGUAGAUAUUAGAAAGAAUACCAAUUGCGAAGGCAGCUUUCUGGAUCAUUACUGACACUGAGGAACGAAAGCAUGGGUAGCGAAGAGGAUUAGAUACCCUCGUAGUCCAUGCCGUAAACGAUGUGUGUUAGACGUUGGAAAUUUAUUUUCAGUGUCGCAGCGAAAGCGAUAAACACACCGCCUGGGGAGUACGACCGCA